RNAcentral lists this ribosomal RNA (399 nucleotides) under uncultured bacterium. Its description in RNAcentral is "bacterial SSU rRNA". It matches the Rfam family "Bacterial small subunit ribosomal RNA", at positions 361 to 776 of the family's 1533-position model. The record is from RNAcentral.
AUCUUGCGCAAUGGGCGAAAGCCUGACGCAGCGACGCCGCGUGGGGGAUGAAGGCCUUCGGGUUGUAAACCCCUUUCAGGAGGGAAGAAAUUGACGGUACCUCCAGAAGAAGCCCCGGCCAACUACGUGCCAGCAGCCGCGGUAAUACGUAGGGGGCGAGCGUUGUCCGGAAUCAUUGGGCGUAAAGAGCUCGUAGGCGGUUCAGCAAGUCGGCUGUGAAAGUCCGAGGCUCAACCUCGGAACUGCAGUCGAUACUGUUGUGACUCGAGUCCGGUAGAGGAGAAUGGAAUUCCCGGUGUAGCGGUGAAAUGCGCAGAUAUCGGGAGGAACACCAGUAGCGAAGGCGGUUCUCUGGGCCGGUACUGACGCUGAGGAGCGAAAGCGUGGGGAGCAAACAGG